Molecule: ribosomal RNA, 310 nt
Filed under: uncultured bacterium
Lineage: Bacteria
Description: bacterial SSU rRNA
Rfam family: Bacterial small subunit ribosomal RNA
Source: RNAcentral
UGGUAUCCGGAAUAACAUCUCGAAAGGGGUGCUAAUACCGGAUAAGCCUACGGAGCCUUCGGUCUCUGCAGGAAAAGGUGGCCUCUAUUUAUAAGCUACCGUAUCAGGAUGGGUCCGCGUACCAUUAGCUAGUUGGUGGGGUAAUGGCCCACCAAGGCGACGAUGGUUAGCUGGUCUGAGAGGAUGAUCAGCCACACUGGAACUGAGACACGGUCCAGACUCCUACGGGAGGCAGCAGUGGGGAAUUUUGCGCAAUGGGGGAAACCCUGACGCAGCAACGCCGCGUGAGUGAUGAAGGCUUUCGGGUCGU